This 99-nucleotide signal recognition particle RNA is filed under the name Spirochaetaceae bacterium. Its description in RNAcentral is "signal recognition particle sRNA small type". It matches the Rfam family "Bacterial small signal recognition particle RNA". Rfam says of the family: The signal recognition particle (SRP) is a universally conserved ribonucleoprotein involved in the co-translational targeting of proteins to membranes. Archaeal SRP consists of a 7S RNA and homologues of the eukaryotic SRP19 and SRP54 proteins. The record is from RNAcentral. Lineage: Bacteria; Pseudomonadati; Spirochaetota; Spirochaetia; Spirochaetales; Spirochaetaceae.
GUUCAGGAACCAUGCGGGCAUAAACCGCCUAACCCCGCCAGGUCCGGAAGGAAGCAACGGUAAGCGAAUUUGUGCCGCGCCGUGGUAAUCUUGAGCGCG